UACGGAGGAUCCAAGCGUUAUCCGGAAUCAUUGGGUUUAAAGGGUCCGUAGGCGGCCUUAUAAGUCAGUGGUGAAAUCUCACGGCUCAACCGUGAAAUGGCCAUUGAUACUGUAGGGCUUGAACUAUUAGGAAGUAACUAGAAUAUGUAGUGUAGCGGUGAAAUGCUUAGAGAUUACAUGGAAUACCAAUUGCGAAGGCAGGUUACUACUAAUGGAUUGACGCUGAUGGACGAAAGCGUGGGUAGCGAACAGG
This 253-nucleotide ribosomal RNA is filed under the name uncultured bacterium. RNAcentral's name for it is "partial 16S ribosomal RNA". It matches the Rfam family "Bacterial small subunit ribosomal RNA", at positions 524 to 776 of the family's 1533-position model. The record is from RNAcentral.